AAAACCAGACCUCUAGCCACUAAAACGGCCGCUUAGGGCAAAGUAGGAGGGCAUUCGGAGAUCAGGAUUUGAGAUCAGAGAGCUAGCUUUAAGUUAAUUUCAAAGGUGUAAGACUUAAUUUUAUAGGAUUUGGGAGGACUUUUCAAUCGUUGUUCAAAGUCAGUGUUUAUAUUGGUGAUUUGGAUUUUUUGCAAUAAAGUUAGUACUAGUAUACUUAACUGUUUUGUAAAAUUAGAGAAACAUCUAUAAUUGAAAUUUUAGAAGUAUCUAGAUGGUUGAGUAUGCCAAGUGCAUGCAAAAUUUUGUGUUAAUCUAAUAAUCCAAAUAGAGGAUAUUUGAUCACUAGUGUAAAGAGGUAUCAGAAGUUGGCAGAUUGGGAUUAUUUAGGAUUUUUGCAAUAUCUGGAGAUCUAUUAGCUGGAAUGAGGUGAAUUUUGGCGUAAUAAGUUGAAGACUUAAAGACGGAGUUGCACACAAAUUUUGAAUGAGAAUUAACAGUUGGAGAAGGAGAAAUUAUAAUUCAAAGUUCAUCAU
This 533-nucleotide long non-coding RNA is filed under the name Physcomitrium patens. RNAcentral's name for it is "long non-coding RNA (PPAT_LNC008184)". Lineage: Eukaryota; Viridiplantae; Streptophyta; Bryopsida; Funariales; Funariaceae. The record is from RNAcentral.